Zootermopsis nevadensis is the source of this 8665-nucleotide non-coding RNA. Lineage: Eukaryota; Metazoa; Arthropoda; Insecta; Blattodea; Termopsidae. The record is from RefSeq and is a predicted model, not a curated record.
UUGUUGGGAGGAAGUACGUGUCCAAAACAUGUUCCUUAUCGACAUCUAUUAUGCGUAAUAGACACUUUGUGUUGCGAUACCGAACAAUCGAUACUUCUAUCGCUGAACUCGAUUUGCAAUCUCAAAGUGAUUGCUGGCGCGAUCUAUACACACGAUAUAUGUAGUAAUUACGACAGUUGUGCAGUAUUCUACGUGAUGGCGCUGAUAUUGAAAUCUGUUUUGUACAGUUCAACAUGGCUGAAUUGGGGUUGAAGAUGUUGGAAGAUUAUUCCUGAAAUUGUGCAAGAAAUUAUGAGACACAAGUGCAUAGCUGUGAUAAAUGUGUGUCUCAACGGAUUUAAUGUGUGUAUCUUCUCUUCGUGAACAUGGAUAGAGCCGGGAUCCUAAGAAUUUAGGAAACCGGAGAAAGAUUGGGGGUGGGAUGGACGUAUUGAGUCUGGACCAGGAGGUGGGCGCCUGGGACUCGGUGCUGAUGGAUCCCCUCACAGAGGAUAGCUUCAUCGCAAACCUGCACCAGCGCUUCAAGCGGGACCACAUCUACACUUACAUCGGGAAUGUGCUGGUGUCAGUGAACCCUUACAAGAAGUUGGCUCUCUACUCUGGGGAACUGGUGAAGGCAUAUCGUUGCAGGGGGCUGUACCAACUACCGCCACACAUCUACGCUAUCGCCGGCUCUGCGUACAGGUUCCUGAGGGACCGGAACGAGGACCAGUGCAUCGUGGUGUCUGGAGAGAGUGGCGCCGGGAAGACAGAAGCAGCCCGCAUCGUCUUGCAGUUCGUGGCCCUCGCGUCGGGUCAAAGUCGGGAGGUUAAGAUCAUGAAGGAACGCCUGGUGCAAGCGGGGCCGCUUUUGGAAGCAUUCGGAAAUGCAAAAACAUACAGGAAUGAUAAUUCUUCACGUUUCGGAAAAUAUCUCGACAUAGAGUUCGAUUACAAAGGAGAUCCGCUUGGAGGAACAAUAACCAAUUACCUCUUGGAAAAGUCACGAGUGACAUGUCAAACCCAAGGUGAAAGGAAUUUCCAUAUUUUCUACCAGUUACUAACAGGGGCUGAUAUCCAGCUACUCAAAUCCCUGAAACUACAACGCAAUCUUGAUAAUUAUGCCUUCCUACGAAGUAGCAGAGUUCACAGUUUAGAAAGUCUGGAUGACAAACAAGAUUUUCAAGUUACAAGGAGAGCUUUGGAAACAUUAGGCUUCUCUCAGGAAGAUAUUGUGAAUGUGUUCAAAAUCGUGGCAUCAGUGUUGAAGCUUGGCAACAUCGGUUUCAUCCCUACAAACAACAUAGAUGGAACAGAAGGGUGUACCAUCAACAAUGAUUAUGAGCUUUAUGAUGUCUGUGAACUUAUUGGUUCAGACCAAGCUACAUUACAAGCAGCCAUGACAUCCCGUACAUUGGAGGAGAACCAGGACUUAGUAACAGCUGAUCUGAGUGCUACUGAGGCCACAUAUGCCCGUGACUCACUAUGCAAGGCUCUCUAUAGUCGCCUCUUCACCUGGCUUGUCAACAAGAUCAAUGAGAGCACCAAGGUGAAACAGUAUGGUAAAAGGAAAGUAUUGGGCAUCUUGGAUGUGUAUGGGUUUGAGAUGUUUGAACGAAAUGGGUUUGAGCAGUUCAUAAUCAAUUUCUGCAAUGAGAAGCUGCACCAAGUAGUGGUGGAGACAACACUGAAAGAGGAGCAAGAAGAAUAUACGCGUGAAGGGAUAGAGUGGAUGCCUAUUGAGUUCUUCAACAACUCUGUUAUCUGUGAACUUAUAGAGAAGAACAAUCAUGGUAUUCUGUCAAUGCUGGAUGAGGAGUGCCUAAAAUCAGGGGUUCUUUCUGAUGAACUGUUCCUUAGUAAACUGGCACAGUGUUUUGCUGGAAAUUCUCACUGUGAAGUCAAAGGAACAUCAGUGUUUCAGAGGAACUUUGUUACAACACCUGGUACCUCAGACAACAGCCUGCCACCCAAUUGUUUCAGAUUGAGACAUUAUGCUGGCACAGUAACCUACAAUGUAUGCGGGUUUGUGGACAAAAACAAUGAUAUUCUGCAUCGAGACCUGUCUCUUGCCAUGUAUCAUUGUGAGCAUCCUAUGCUCAAAACCCUUUUUCCUGAAGGAAACCCCAAGCGGUCAACUUUGAAGCGGCCCGCUACAACAGGAACCCAAUUUAAAAUUUCAAUAAGUGCCCUUGUUCGAAACCUUGGCUGUAAACAACCACAUUAUGUUCGUUGCAUCAAACCUAAUGAGCUGAAGCAGCCAAGGAUAUUUGAGAUGGCACUGGUGCAACAUCAGGUCAGGUACCUAGGGUUGAUAGAGACGGUACGGGUACGGAGGUCAGGAUUUUGUUAUCGAUUACCGUACCAGCAGUUCCUUUCACGCUACAAGAUGCUUUCAUUGCACACUUGGCCUAAUUGGCAAGGACCUCCAGUUGAAGGUGUUUCCUACCUCAUUAGGGACCUGCCCAUCCCAAGUGGAGAAUUUGCCUUUGGAAGGACAAAGGUCUUUGUAAGAAGUCCCAGAACAGUGUUUGAGUUGGAGGAGUUUCGUAGAGAACGACUGGAAGACUUAGCGAUGCUGCUGCAAAAAAUCUGGCGUGGCUACAGACAACGGAAAGAAUUCUUACGAAAGAAGCAUAGCCAGGUUAUUAUUGCAUCUGCAUGGCGAAGUUGGAGAGCAAGAGAAGAGUAUCGUAUUCUCAGGCACCGAAAGCAGGUGGAAUGGGCAGUCAACAUAAUACAAAGACACUACAUUCACUGGAAGAGGUGGCAGUUUCUGCUUCGUCUUGCUCGACAACUUCCUCAAGAAUCUGAAUCUCCUAUCAGCAGGGAAUGGCCACCGUGUCAUAAGAGAUUAGCAGAGACCAGUCUAAUCCUUAGGCGAAUACACCACAAAUGGAGAUGUCACAGAUAUCGACUAAAAUUUGACCAAACGGCAAGAAAUAGGAUGAGAGAAAAAGUGACAGCUAGUAUUAUCUUCAAGGACAGGAAAGCUUCAUACCCACGCAGUGUGUCACAUCCUUUUCUGGGGGAUUAUGUACGCCUUAGACAGAAUGUCCAGUGGAAGAAAGCCUGUAUAGAAACCAAUGACCAAUAUGUGGUGUUUGCAGACAUCAUAAACAAAAUCACAAGAUCAAGUGGGAAGUUUGUUCCCAUCCUAUUUGUGCUGUCAACAAGCUCCAUGCUGAUACUGGACCAACGCACACUGCAGAUAAAAUACCGUGUGCCGGCAGCAGAGAUCUACCGGUUAUCCCUCAGUCCAUACCUGGACGAUGUAGCUGUCUUCCAUGUUCGUGCUCCCAGCCCCAGCUCAGAGGUGACGAGCCACCAGAACAUUCCCGGCUGCCUGUUUCAGAGUGAUCUCAGCAAGAAGAAAGGUGACUUUGUCUUCCAGACUGGCCAUGUGAUUGAAAUUGUCACUAAGCUGUUCCUUGUAGUCCAGAAUGCAAUGGGAAAACCACCUGAAGUCAACAUCAGUACAGAAUUUGAGGCAAAUUUUGGCCAGCAGACAGUGUUGUUCACUUUCAAAUGCACGGGCCUUCCAGAGGUGCAGCCAGGACAGAUCCGCAUCCUGCGUAAGGGGAACAAGAUGGAAGUUCUUGUAUGAGAUACAGCUAUCUUAGUUCAUGCAUCUACUGCUUUCCAGUAAGUUAAGAAUUAUUUUCAUUGCUUUUGUUUCAAAUCAUAGCUAAACACUUCAUAUAAAAUUUGUUUUAAAAUAUUUUAUUUGCAGUUCUUGGCGCAGGAUCGCCUUAUCUCCACAUAUACUCUUGUAAGAUAACCAGUGCCAUGUUCACAAGAGUCCAGCAUUUGACCACUACAUUCUGAGUCGUAUGAAUCUAGUCCAAAUCUUAAAACCCACUUAUUUAAGACCAGUUUAAAAUAUUACCCUUUCUUCUGUCUUCUUCAACCAAGUGGUCUCUUCCUGGUAAAGUAGCAGUUUUUAAAUGACUGUACUUUUAUGUAUUCUGUUUAGUAUUCAAGAAUGAAAUCAACAGGGUGAUGACAACUCAUUGUCCUGAUGAUGGAUGCAGGAAGCACCUUUGAAACAUUGGUAAACUUCUAUCAGAUUUUGGCCCAACAUCCCAGAAGACAAUCAUCUUCUCUCUUUAUUAAUCUGGAUAACUGGGAGUAAACUGUAUGAUGGACACAAAAAUGUUAGUUUAUGUAAUGAUAAUAUUAAAUAAUCUCACUACCUCAGAAAUACUGAAAUUAGGUGAAACCCCAUGGUAAAACUGAUUCUAAUAUAUUUUAAAGAUAGUUUUAAAUGUAAGCAGUAACAUGAGAGAAACUGAAUGCUAAAAUUAAAGAUGGGUUAUCUGGUUACAGAGAUGUGUUCCAUUAAGAUGCAGUCUGCUGCAUGUGUUCCCCUUGUGCUAAACUGCAUUGUCUAAAUGUAGGGGCCUCUGAUCCAACCCAACAAAACCAAUUGAUUGUGAUAAAAUGCCUUGCCUGCCUUGGUCCAACAAGCCUGUGUCUAGUCUAAGGCCAGACUAAAAGGUCUCCGCUCAACAACAAUAUUUUGGAGCAAUUAUUUGGGAUAGAAAAAUGUGAGAAUCUCUAUAUACAAUAGUGUACAGCAUGAAUAAGGAUGAUCUAUACUAUUCAGUUUCAUGUUGAAAAUCCAUAGCGAGUUGUGUAAAUAUGAUGCCAUAAAACCUUAACAGACCUGAGUGAGUGUGAAGUAUAUUUAAAUGCACAUAUGAUGAAGCACCAUAAAGCAAUACGUUGAGUUUUCUCCUGGUAUUGCAGGAAAAAACUAAAGAAAUACUUUAAAGACGUUUUAGUGAGUACUGGAGAAAUCAGAACAAGUUACAAAAUUUAGAAUAUGGUAGCUGUGUUAAAAACUACUUUCAUUUUCAGCAUUUUUUAUUGAGUAUUGCAAGAGAAGAAAGAAGGAAAUUCUAGUCAUGGUACAAGAGUAUCCAACUUGGAAAUAAUGUCCGAUACUCUGAAAUAGUGGAAGAUAUUUCAAUCAGAAAAAUAAAUGGUAGGGCAUAAAGUGUUACAACCAUCUGAUCAAGCUCUAUUCUAAUGUACGUACUUCAAACAUAUCCAAUACAUGAAAGCAAAGAAAGAUUGCAAAAAAGUAAGUAAUUAUAAAGAACAUUUUCAGGAGAACAUACGUACUGGGGAAUGGAAUAACUAUCUGCCUGUUAUAAAAGCUCAGAUACUUUGAUUGAACUUUCCUUGUCCAAAUUUUCCACAUACUUUAAUUUAACACAUAGUACAUUGUUACGAACCUCAGAUUAUAAAGUGGAAGUUGUAACAAGGAAGGUUGAGUUAUUCUUUAAUUGGACCAGUUGUAAUGGCCCCUUAAGCAGUAAAAAUCUUGUUAAUAGAUGGAGUAGCUUCUAGAAUCUUCAUCUAGCACGUUUGGUUAUGCUUUUCUCUGCUGCAUCAUUCUCACACCAUUUAUAUAGACUUUAAAAAAAUCAAAGAAAUACCUGGAGAAAAAAAUAUUCAUAGAGGUCAGGUUAUCUGAGAAAAUUUUAUACUUGUAUAUGAAUAACGGUAAUUGCUACUGAAAAUGUUUUUCCAUUUAUGGUUAACUUCUUUACUUUGUCUUUUAAGAGGAAAAUAUUGAUUAAUAUAUAUUUAAUUUCUUCCAAAUAAUAAUGUGCCAGUACCAAAGAUUGAGAUUUGACCCAUUAUACACUAAGGUACACAUUAGGUUCAGUGCUGUUCUGAACUUCUAUACUAUGUUGUUUUCAGUUUAGUUUAGCAAGUACCUCGAUUACAUUUACACCAUCAACUUAACACUGUAACUCACACUGAGAUUUUUGUAACUGAAAUAUCACUACUACUUAAUCCAGGAGUCUCAAACAUGCAACUCCCAAAUUGAAUGUUACCAAAUAUAACGUUUUUAUUGAGUAAACGAUUUUAAGAUGAUAACAUGAAUUAAGGUAAGAUUCGAAAGAACACAGAGGAAAUUAAGAAAAGUGUGCGUUGGUUUUAUAUAGUAUGUAUCUGUGCUGUAUGAUCUGAAGCUUUCAUCACAACUAAGUAUAAUAAAUUCUUCUUGGCUACAAGCUGUGUAAGGUGGGUUAAUGAAGAAAACACCGUUUCAAGAACCGUCUUCAUUCUCGUCCUCAAGGUACUGUUGUAGGUACCCUGAGGAUGGCAGUGAGUAUGUAGACCGCUGUCUUCUGGACAAUGAUCACUGUAUUUAUGGAGGCAGCAAGCACCUCUGAAAUGUCAGACUACACAGUGUAACAACUCAGAAGAUGGCCAUAUUCUUCAGUUCCUGUGUUUGGCACAGCUCUCCAUUCAGUUACACAAAAUUGUUGGAAUAGAUUAUUGUUACAGAAUGUGGCAGGGGCCAGAAUAACACAUAUAAAUCUUAUUGAUUUGCAUUAUUUUAUUUGUAUAUUCUGUUACUCUUUCCUCCCAGGCUGCUUAUAAAAUGUACCAGCUUUUGUUUCUGUGUGCUUUGAGGCUCCUUGAUUAAUCAUUUUAUAUCAUAAGAAACUUCCCUACGAAAUGCCAAUACCAUUAAUUUUGAUCAAAUGGAAUAUGGUAAUUGUCCUUCCACCUUACCUUACAUCAGAAUGUUUUGUUGAUGUCAACUAAACCUUAUCACUGAUAUACAUUGGACAUAAUAUUUUAAAAUAAUUGUGUUUGGUGCUUAGGAGCUGAGGGUACUUAUCUGUCCUAAACAUGCAUUCAUGUGGAGAAUGAAAGAUAUUUGAUUGAAGCUUGAAAUGGGAGAAACAUAAGACAAGGUUGUUAUUUGUCAUACUGUAUGGAUCAUAAUGCUCAUAUUAAUUUGGACAAAAUUAAAAUUCCAUAUAUGUACAUCAUCCAGUAUCCAUAUAUCUUUCCUGCCUUGUUUCUGCCAAAAGGUGUCGCAGAAAAGGUAUACAAAAAAUGUUCCUCUUGGAGAAAGAGCCCUGAGACAGUUAUUGAUUUUUUUAAUAACCUCUGUAUAUAUAACAGUUGAUACUUUCAUAUGCUUUGUCAGCUGAUUAUGAUUGUAUUAAGCUGAGUAAUAUUGCUAUGAUUUGUAUUUAAUUCUGUUAACAGUGUCUGUGACUGAUUUAUUGUUACAUAACAUUACAUGCAUAUUAUCAAAAAUAAGUUAUUUUUCAUAAAGUAAUAUAAUAAUUUUCAAGCAAGGAAAGUAAUUACAAUGUGUACAAUUAAGUUGUUAUUAAAUAUAUUUUGUAUUUCAGUAAACAUAUGGUGUCAGUUGAGGACAACAAAAAUAUUGUAUUUCCUUUAUUCAUUUAGUAAUAGGUUUUCAGAAAAAAAUAUGCUGUAUCAAUUCUUAGGCGCCAUCAGAUGUAACAUGCACCCGUUUCAAAUAAUUAUUCUCAUUUUUAUUUAUGAUGCUGUCAGAAACUCAGACUAUAUAGCAUCAAUCAAAAUCCAAAAUUAUAUUAUAUUCAUUAUAUGAAGUUUUAAUUUUGUCAUAAAAUAAGAACCGUGAAGUGUGUUCCAACUUUCUGUGAUAUUAUACAUUAUUUAUAGAUGUCAUUCCAACUUCUGAUACCUUAAAUUUCACGAAUUACCACAAGAAAUAUGAUACACUGUUCCUAAUAAAGUUAUAUGGUCAUUAGCACAUUACAACAAACAAUAACUGCUGUUUAUUCAAAAUAAAAUGUUAUGACUGAACAAGCCAGGAAGUAAGGCCUAGAAUAAACUUAAUUACAGAUCAGAAUAUUAUUUGUACAUUUUUAUGAUCCAUACAGUCUUAUUCAUCUAGAUCAUUCCAUGAGUCUUUUUAUUCUUAUAGAUUUUUUCUAAUUGAAUGAUCAAUUUUUAUCAGUAUGAACAAGCAUUAUCUUCUGGCUCAUUUCCAAGCACCAAUACUACUUUUUCCCAAUAAUUAUCUUUUAUAUAGUAUGUAACCUUUAACUAAAUUCUUUAAUCUAUGCUUAUUGUAUUCUAAACAUGGCUGCUUGUUCAGCAUCUUUCUUCAUCAUGUUAAGGGAUGGUAUAGGUAAUAGAAUGUAAGUAUAGAUCUGUGGUAUGGUUUAGGAUUGUAGUGUUAUUUUGUGCAUCCCAUUUAUAAAACCCCAUCCAUCUUCAUCCUUUUAUCAGUACCUUUAUAUUGUAGUAAGAUGAUGCCCACAUUUUUAAAAAGAACGUAGGAUUAAACAUUUUCUACAUCACAUAAAGCACAGAUCUUUCAUUUGUUCAUCCCCAUGUUGCAGUCACCGUUGUUCGCACUUGUUAACGGAGAAUAUUUUUUAACUUGAGGAUGGGCAAGUAGGAGAAAAUGUGUAAAUUAAUAGUAAUAUAAAUAAUGUACAAAAAUGUUGUCAAAAAUACUUUGAAAGAUAAAAAAAUGUAUGGUUUCUUAACAAUGAGAAUUUUUAUAAUAAAAAUAUAUACAGUGUUUGAAUUGUGACUAAUAUUCCUUUUUUUUUACCUGGUAAUUUUCCAUUUCCCAGUAAAGCUGAUGUAACAUUUGAAAGCAAUGUCACUGACUUACUAUCAGCUUAAGCGACAAGAAGGUAAAUUGUGAGAUGUUAAUUUUUAAUUCCUAAAGAAUAAACUUGGCUGUGAGAUUUCAGCCAGUAAAGUGGCAACCUGCUUUAAUGUUAGGGUCCAUUCUCUAUACAGAGUUACUGUGCAUUAAAGUUUAUUUGAAUGUUGUAUGACUGUUUAUUUAUCUUGCUGCAGAUCUUUCAACCUGCUGUUGCUGGGUUCAUGACAUGAAGGCAGUGUUUCCCUACUC